This 402-nucleotide ribosomal RNA is filed under the name Candidatus Solibacter sp. RNAcentral describes it as "partial 16S ribosomal RNA". It matches the Rfam family "Bacterial small subunit ribosomal RNA", at positions 355 to 774 of the family's 1533-position model. Lineage: Bacteria; Pseudomonadati; Acidobacteriota; Terriglobia; Bryobacterales; Solibacteraceae. RNAcentral also lists the same sequence under 1 other name. The record is from RNAcentral.
UGGGGAAUCUUGCACAAUGGGGGAAACCCUGAUGCAGCGACGCCGCGUGAGCGAUGAAGCCCUUCGGGGUGUAAAGCUCUUUCGGCAGGGACGAUUAUGACGGUACCUGCAGAAGCAGCUGCGGCUAACUACGUGCCAGCAGCCGCGGUAAUACGUAGGCAGCAAGCGUUGUUCGGAGUUACUGGGCGUAAAGGGUGCGUAGGCGGCUUCUUAAGUCUGGUGUGAAAUCUCCCGGCUCAACUGGGAGGGUGCGCCGGAUACUGAGGGGCUAGAGUGUGGGAGAGGAAAGUGGAAUUCCUGGUGUAGCGGUGAAAUGCGUAGAUAUCAGGAGGAACACCGGUGGUGUAAACGGCUUUCUGGACCAUAACUGACGCUGAGGCACGAAAGCGUGGGUAGCAAACA